UCGUCACACUAUCAUUAACUGAAUCCAUAGGUUAAUGAGGCGAACCGGGGGAACUGAAACAUCUAAGUACCCCGAGGAAAAGAAAUCAACCGAGAUUCCCCCAGUAGCGGCGAGCGAACGGGGAGGAGCCCAGAGCCUGAAUCAGCAUGUGUGUUAGUGGAAGCGUCUGGAAAGGCGCGCGAUACAGGGUGACAGCCCCGUACACAAAAGCGCAUGUGCUGUGAGCUCGAUGAGUAGGGCGGGACACGUGGUAUCCUGUCUGAAUAUGGGGGGACCAUCCUCCAAGGCUAAAUACUCCUGACUGACCGAUAGUGAACCAGUACCGUGAGGGAAAGGCGAAAAGAACCCCGGCGAGGGGAGUGAAAAAGAACCUGAAACCGUGUACGUACAAGCAGUGGGAGCACAGGUUUACCUGUGUGACUGCGUACCUUUUGUAUAAUGGGUCAGCGACUUAUAUUCUGUAGCAAGGUUAACCGAAUAGGGGAGCCGUAGGGAAACCGAGUCUUAAUUGGGCGUUAAGUUGCAGGGUAUAGACCCGAAACCCGGUGAUCUAGCCAUGGGCAGGUUGAAGGUUGGGUAACACUAACUGGAGGACCGAACCGACUAAUGUUGAAAAAUUAGCGGAUGACCUGUGGCUGGGGGUGAAAGGCCAAUCAAACCGGGAGAUAGCUGGUUCUCCCCGAAAGCUAUUUAGGUAGCGCCUCGUGAAUUCAUCUCCGGGGGUAGAGCACUGUUUCGGCUAGGGGGCCAUCCCGGCUUACCAACCCGAUGCAAACUGCGAAUACCGGAGAAUGUUAUCACGGGAGACACACGGCGGGUGCUAACGUCCGUCGUGAAGAGGGAAACAACCCAGACCGCCAGCUAAGGUCCCAAAGUCAUGGUUAAGUGGGAAACGAUGUGGGAAGGCCCAGACAGCCAGGAUGUUGGCUUAGAAGCAGCCAUCAUUUAAAGAAAGCGUAAUAGCUCACUGGUCGAGUCGGCCUGCGCGGAAGAUGUAACGGGGCUAAACCAUGCACCGAAGCUGCGGCAGCGACAC
RNAcentral lists this ribosomal RNA (1036 nucleotides) under Salmonella enterica subsp. enterica serovar Newport. Its description in RNAcentral is "partial 23S ribosomal RNA". It matches the Rfam family "Bacterial large subunit ribosomal RNA", at positions 140 to 1214 of the family's 2925-position model. The record is from RNAcentral. Lineage: Bacteria; Pseudomonadati; Pseudomonadota; Gammaproteobacteria; Enterobacterales; Enterobacteriaceae.